RNAcentral lists this ribosomal RNA (287 nucleotides) under uncultured bacterium. RNAcentral's name for it is "partial 16S ribosomal RNA". It matches the Rfam family "Bacterial small subunit ribosomal RNA", at positions 775 to 1067 of the family's 1533-position model. The record is from RNAcentral.
GGAUUAGAUACCCUGGUAGUCCACGCUGUAAACGAUGAUUACUCGGUGCUGGCGAUACACUGUCAGUGCCUAAGCGAAAGUGAUAAGUAAUCCACCUGGGGAGUACGAUCGCAAGGUUGAAACUCAAAGGAAUUGACGGGGGCCCGCACAAGCGGUGGAGCAUGUGGUUUAAUUCGAUGAUACGCGAGGAACCUUACCUGGGCUUAAAUGCAUAAUGACAGACUGGGAAACCAGUCCUUCUUCGGACAGAAUGCAAGGUGCUGCAUGGCUGUCGUCAGCUCGUGCCG